CCGAGGGUGGUGAGGGGCGAGGGUGUGGGAAAGAGGCGGCGAUGGGCGCGCCCGCGCGGGCUGCCUGGACGUGUCCGUAGCCCCGAAGGCCCCGGGGGCAGCCCGGUGCCUUUUUUACAGCAAACCAGUCGAUGUUAAAAAACGGCUUGGCCGCUCUCCAGGAGCGAGGGCGGAGGUAUGCGGUGAGCACAGGCGGGAGCCCGCAGCGGUGCUGGGGGACGGUGCUGCACCGGGGCAGGUGGGCCCCGUGCCUCAAACACUGCCGGCCUCCGCGGGGCAGCGCUCUUCAAACCCAGCAGUCGUUUCUUCUAAUAAAUAAUGCACACGCGUCUCUAUAUACAGGUAUGUACGUAGGAAUAACCCGAAUCUGGCCCAACCCUUCGCAUUUAUUCCUUUAGAAGUUUGAGGGAGAUGGAGUUGUUACUGUGUGACCGCUAUGAGGGAGGUUGUGGUGAAGAGGCCUCUUCUCCCAGUAACAGCUACAGGACGUCAGGUAAUGGCCUUAAGUCGUACCAGGGGAGGUUCAGGUUGGAUAUUAGGAAACAUUUCUUGUCAGAAAGAGUGGCGAGGCACUGGCACAGCUGCCCAGGGAGGUGGUGGAGUCACCGUCCCUGGAGGUGUUCAAGAACUGUGGCACUGAGGGACGCGGUCAGUGGGCACAGUGGGGGUGGGCUGAUGGUUGGACUUGAUGAUCUCGGACAUCUUUUCCAACCUUAAUGAUUCCAUGGCUCUGUGAUUCUACGUCCCGCUGACACCACAAGCACUGGAUUGCCCCAUUGUGGCAUCUGGCUGUUCUUUACGGCACCUCCGAGACCAAUGGCCAAGGUGGAGUCAAGAAACACAAUGGCUCGGACAAAAUCUCACUGCCCGAUCUCAUUUUCGGGCUGCUCAUUUCCUGAGUAUGACGAUAUAGAGACCGGCUGUCCCAACCCAUCUCAGAAAGUGUUGGUGGCAGCGUGAGGGCAAGGCGGGUGGGGGUGAUGAGGCAUGGCAGCAGCUGCCACGGGACCAGUGUCAUCACCUUAUUGCUGGAAGGCCAGAGAGCAAGGAACGAGCUCCCUCGCAAGGAUAGAAGGAAUAACAGGAUCCUUUCGCUGUAAGAACCCAAACAGAGCCUGCAGAGUUCUAUUUUCUCAGGCUUCUGUUCCCACCAGAACUUUUCCAGGGCAGUUACAGACAGUACAUUGAGGAAGCUGAUCUUGUGACAAUAAACACUGCACCGUGUGUUUAGGUUUGCUUUCUUUCCUGAUACUUGCUGCAUUUUCUGUGAGUCUUCAAUGGAGAUGGAUGCAUUCCUGUGGUAUAGGAGCUCUAGAGAGUCGUAUCAAUGACGAAAAGGAUUAAAAUUCAAAGUUAAUGUAUGUAUCACAUCAGAAUGAAGGGAAAUCUCUCCCUGUUGCUCGCUGGUGGUUUCUCCUGUGCCAUGCCAAGGUGUGAGCCUACAGAUUUCGGCACUUCUUUCCUGGAUCUGUUUGAAGAAUGAACGUCACUGAGAAGGCUGUGUGAUCCAAACCAGCUUUCCUGGCCUGAGCUGUUCAUUACCAUCACACCAAGCAUGACUGUAAAUGACCUUCUGUACCCUUGAUUGUAACUUCUGAGUACAGUAAACACCGCCUGGACAUCGCCUCUGCAAAAAUCUCCCCUUUCUUCCCCUGGGGCUCUUGUCAGCUCCAGGAUGACAGGAAGCAUCUGCAUCAGCUCCCAGCAACACUUCAGUGGUGCUUGCAGACAAAUUCGUAUUUCCCAAAGAUGGGAAGAAGAUUCCCAGAAGAAGGAGGUCAACUGCCUCAGACAGAAGGGCCAUGGAAGAGCCCCUUGGACACUCCCCUUGGCGGACAAUAUGCUGAUGCACGUUAGUGACUUGAUAGCGAGCUCUUGCUUUGUGGGGGCUGCUGAAGGAUGUCCUUGGUGCUUCUGUGCAGUUACGGGCUCACUGAGUCUCUCCACCAGCAUGCCACUGUGGGUUUGGCUGCAAGGCUUUCAAAGCCUGAGUGCAGCGAGCAGUGCCCGGGUGGCGUUUCUGAUGGCAUCCAUGAUGUGUCUUCUGGUAGAGGAAUGAAUAGAGCUGCUAACCACUGACCCUUGCAAACCUGCCAGAGGGAAAAAAAACAAUAAAGGAAAGUAGGCAGCAGAGCAGGGCCACACUAUUUCUAGCAACUGAGAGCUCUGAUCAGGAGAUGGACAGGUGAGGAUUUCAUUGCACUGGGAGGCAGGCUGCAGUGUCUUCCAGGCCCGAGCGGUCUGCCUGCUGUGGGCCACCACAGCAUACCCAAUAGUGUGCUAACUGUUGCUGUUUAAUCUCCAGCAUCUUGUUUGACGCCUCGGUGUAAUAAUGAUGGAAAUAAUAAAUGGCGUGCUACAAAGCCGUGUGCGUGGACUCGCUUUGUGCUGACGGCGGUGCCUUGCUCCCGGCGCGGCUCGGUGCCAGCCUGCUUCCAGCUGAGUCAGUUGGAGCAGGCAAAGGCCCAGCUCAACAGCUGGC
This 2482-nucleotide long non-coding RNA is filed under the name Gallus gallus (chicken). Its description in RNAcentral is "lncRNA (ENSGALG00010003924.1)". The record is from RNAcentral. Lineage: Eukaryota; Metazoa; Chordata; Aves; Galliformes; Phasianidae.